Molecule: transfer RNA, 77 nt
Filed under: Pseudomonadota bacterium
Lineage: Bacteria; Pseudomonadati; Pseudomonadota
Also listed under: 1 other name
Description: Proteobacteria bacterium (groundwater metagenome) tRNA-His
Rfam family: tRNA
About the family: Transfer RNA (tRNA) molecules are approximately 80 nucleotides in length. Their secondary structure includes four short double-helical elements and three loops (D, anti-codon, and T loops).
Source: RNAcentral
GUGGGCGUAGCUCAGCUGGUGGUAGCUCCGGAUUGUGGCUCCGGUGGUCGUGGGUUCAAGUCCCAUCGCUCACCCCA